AACGUGGACAAAAUCACUGGAAUCGACAGCCUAGGUGCCCAGGUCAAGGUACAAGGGACACCAGACAUUUCCAUGCCACAGACACCUGUCCUGUCGGGAACAGAGACCAGUUAUGCCAGGAUGUAAACAGCACCCAGCUUCUCUCGGAUCUCCCUCACCC
This is a long non-coding RNA of Myodes glareolus (Bank vole), 160 nucleotides long. RefSeq lists it as uncharacterized. The record is from RefSeq and is a predicted model, not a curated record. NCBI's taxonomy places the organism in Eukaryota, Metazoa, Chordata, Mammalia, Rodentia, Cricetidae.